RNAcentral lists this long non-coding RNA (518 nucleotides) under Phoenix dactylifera (date palm). RNAcentral describes it as "long non-coding RNA (PDAC_LNC005115)". The record is from RNAcentral. Lineage: Eukaryota; Viridiplantae; Streptophyta; Magnoliopsida; Arecales; Arecaceae.
CUCCCGUCAGCUGUCUAGCGAUGAUUUCAGCAUAUUGACACCUAAUUUGUAUGUUCCAGCAUCAUAAUCUGUUGAGCAUAUUCAUGAGUAGCAUAUAUGUUUACUUGAUUAUUUCAUAUAUGCUUCAGAUGAGUUGAUAUUGAUUGUGGUGAUAUUGAUGAUUUACUCCAUAUUCUCUAUGUUGAGAUCAUGUUUAUCUUGUUAUUGAUCUUGAGAUUUCACCUCGAGCCAUGAUUAUAUCUGGUCUCAUGUGCAUAGUACUCUCUACUCCACUCACUGAGUAUUCAUAUACUCACUCCCCAGUUUGGUGUUUUUGAUUGCAGGGCAGGUAUUGUAUAGAGAAGAACAGAGUUAGAGAUUGCCUGCUAGCUGUGCCGCUCCAUAGUAUAGUAUAGUAUAAUGUAGAUAAAGAUUUAUACAUUUUGGUGUAUUAUAAACCUUCUAUUGUAUAUAGUGCAUAGUUACAGUCAUAGAUCCUGUUGUGGAUAUGGGUUUGACCAUGGAUGGAUUAGGAAGCA